This 7448-nucleotide long non-coding RNA is filed under the name Ananas comosus (pineapple). RNAcentral's name for it is "long non-coding RNA (ACOM_LNC032696)". Lineage: Eukaryota; Viridiplantae; Streptophyta; Magnoliopsida; Poales; Bromeliaceae. The record is from RNAcentral.
CAAUAUGCAAUACCUGUAAAUCAUGAAAGUAGAUUACUUUAUUCUACUUUAUAUCAUUAACCAUUCUUUACUUGUAGCCGUUCUUUUCUUUAUUAGCUAUUCACGUUCAUUAGCUAUUCUUUAUUCUUUACUCUUUGUCUUAUUGUGCUCACUGGCGAUUCUUUCCUAAGGUUAUUUUACCUUAGCCAUCUAUGCCACUCGACUCGGUCUCGAGUAAAUCAACUGCGGAGAGUCCGCGCUCUGUCCGGCUCAAGGUUAAGGACCUCUCACUUACACCUCAGCCUUCAGUCCACAAAUAUCUCGCGAACGGGUCGCCCAGAGCUGCGUACACCCGUGGUCAAGGAUCUUUCCGGUGGGAAGGGGAUUAUGCCACAAACUCAACCCGCGGCCCAAGACCCCCGAUAGGGAAGGGGACAUGCCACACUCAACCCUAGCGAAGCACAAUUCUGCCGAUGGGAGGGGGAACCUGCCACACUCGACCCGCGGCCUCGAAUCAGUCAACAACUCAUCCUCGAAGUUCGUCCAGUGGGAGGGGAACCUGUCAUACUCAACCCACUGCUCUAGAACUGUCGAGUUCACAAUCCUAAGAUUCCGGAAUCUAUUUCCCAAGCCUCUAGGGUAAUCUCAAACCCUAUGAUAUCGACCUAUCUAGGUCCAAUGCACUUUCUGUCCUAAGUCUAGCUGACUCUAGGUUUAAUGCCCCUAUCAUAUAACCUAUGUUCUUAAUCCUAGGUUCAUAUUUAACCUAUGUUAAUUACGCUAGGUUCGGUGCCACUCGAUCUAGUUGUCCCUAAUUGUCCACAUCGAGUUUCUAUAAUUACAUAACCUCAUGCACAUGCUCACAUUGCUAAUAUGCAUUUUGUCUAUCAACAUCCAAUAAAGUAUCUUACUUAGCAUCUCUACAUUAUGUCAUCAUCUAGCAUAUAGUUCCAAUGGAUUAAUAUGCAUUCACUACGAGCAUGCAUUACAUAAUACUAACAUGUAUAUACAUUUAACAAUUUCUCAUUAUGUCAUGUUAGAUCCACAACAUAUUAUCAUUUACUUACAUGCUCUAUUAUGAGUUGACAUGAAACUAGCACUUGCAUAUAAUUCCAAUGCAUCAACAUGCCAUUAGCAACUAGCAUAAUUACUAUCAUUUAGUACAUGCAUCUUAACUAACAUGCUCACAUAAUGUUACAUACACCUAGCAUAUAUUCCAAUGCAUUAUUAUGCAAUUACCAACUAGUAUACAUUCACAUGAUGCCCUUAGCACACUUCUAACUAUGCAUAUGUAUAUCAACAUGCACAUUCUAAUUAUAUGCUUUAACUCAUCUACAAUACCAUUAUACUUGUACAUAUGCAUCAACAUGAAUUUCAUGUUUACUUUGACAUGAAGGCGAGCUAGUCGCUUCGGUAAGCACAACCUACCUGUUAUCGCGUUCCGAUUGCUCGUAGUCACUUGUAAUCGGCCGCCCGCGGUACCCGCUAUCUAAUUCGGCCCGGACUCGCAAUUGCUCACCAACCGUGCUCCGCUUCGCAGUCCCGGUUAGAAAAAGGUCUUCGUUUUGUUGUUAUGGUGCCCCAAAUCCAUUUCCAUGAUUUUACGACGUCGCCUCGGCCCUCCAGGCGGAAACGAAGCCUAAACGUCCGUUUCUUUAAUAUCUUCGUAACGGCUCGUCGGAUUGCCGAACCGUCUUCGCCAACGCGUUUCGUUACCUAGCAAUUAGGUUUUCGGAGGGUCAAAUUAGAUCAAACCCUUAUUUUUUGAAAAUUAGCAUUUUGGAGCCCUAGGUUACAACUAUGCAAGAAAUCACCAAAUUGAUUCAUGAUUUAAGCAUCAUUCAUCUAGAUAGCAUGCUAGGAUUCCUCUAAAUCCAUUUAUAAGCUAUUUAACCCAACCAUUAAGGAUCUACCAUUAAUGGGCAAGGAGCUUACCUCCAAGAGCUUGCUCCAAAAUGAAGAAGAAGAAGAUGAUGGUGUUGAUGAUCCCUCCAAGCUUCUUCUCCACCAAUUUCACCUAUUUUGGGAGAGAUUUAGAGAGAGAAAGAGAGGGUUUUCUCUUCUCCUUCCAUGCGUGUGUGAGUGUGUGUCGUGGGUGUGCACGGGUUGGGGCUGCACGGUUGAGGGAGAAGAAGCAUUUGCUUCUUUUACAACUUAACCCCUCAACUAUACAGUAUUCACAUUAGUUACCUGCCCGGAAUCUGAUAAGUUUCGUCGGAGCCCUUCUGGAUGUCCGUUUCUGCUCAAAUUUGACAGGCAGACUCGGUUUGACAUAUUGAGCAAGAAUAUAUCUUAAGUUUCCAGUUUCGACUUUGUUUGGUCACCGAAAACUAUGCCGAACUGUAAUCUUAGUUAAAUAACUGUUGGAUUUUAUUUCUCACUCUACGGGUGUCAAAAUGGUAUGAAACUUUAAAUCUAGUCUCAUAAAAAUAUUUCUGAUAUAUCCUCCAAUUUUCAUAAUUUUCUGACACUGUGCAUUUUCUGCUAAUUUAUCUGCCCCGUUUUUCACAGGAAAUUCUAAAUCUUCUGUUUUCGCUCCGAUUUCAGCACAGGUCAUUCCCAACCUAUAUUUUACUUCUCUAAAUCCAAUAAAAAUAGUGACUCAUACUGUUUUUAUUUAUUUUCAUUUUUAUAUUUAAAAUCCGGUAUGUUACAUUCCACCGCAACCUCACCGGAACCAUUUAAACGUACACCGUAACUUCAUAAUUUUAUAAGUUCGAUAUGUUACAUUCUCCCCUCCUUAAAAAGAGUUUUGUCCGCGAAACUCAAAUAAUUCAAACUCUAAUUCAUACCCCAACUCUACUUAUCGAGUAACAAAGGGGUACAAUGCACUUUUCUACUUCGGAGUGGUCCUGCGCUCAUUGGAACUAUUCAAAGGCCCACUACGGAGGUUGUGAAACUAAAUUCACUCACGUUUACCAAAUGUAACACCGAAAGUGCAUUACGGCUUCACAAGCCUCGGUGGUAGCGUGGGUCAAUACUCAUGCCUUCACACGCUCCAACACCACCAGCAAACAGGCUCACUAAGGCCAAACCACUUCCUUCGAGACUGGGGUUACCUGCUAUCCUCAUAGUGUGGAGCUAGCAAGAAUGCACUAAUAGUCAUAUGGUCCACCACCACGACACUGCACACACGAGUAAGUCCUCUCGAAUCGCCUGAGCAUCUACAAGGCGGCUCUCACCACCUUGGCUUAUUCAAGAGUUCGUAUUACUCAUUUACAACUCUUCGUCACAUUCACCAUCCCUCCAGGGAUCACACUCCAAUUCGAUCACCGGCAUUGCUUAGAAGCAAUAUCAUUGGUGCAUCGACCAAUCACGAGUGCUCCAAUCCUCAACCGGAUCCUUGCUCUACUACGAGAUGGCACACUCCCGCACAUCCCCGAUCUCAAUCCUCUUGAGAGCAUCAUCCUCAACUCCAAUCCUCACGUGGCUAUCCAACAUUCAAGUGCCUCUUAGAGACCACUCUACUUUCUCUUUAUCCUUUCAUACCGUAAGCCACGAUCAACACCACACGAACCCUUCGUUCGUGGAUCCGAGCCCAACUCACCCAUAGAGUUUUCGGUUACAUCAAUCAUCGAUUUCCUCAGGUGGACCGAAGGCCACCAAUCCUACGUGGGCCUACCACCUAAACCGGUCUCAACUACGCGUAGUGUCUCUGGCCUACUAGCGUAGACCCAAUCAUCAUUACUGGGCGAAAUUCUCAUUGGAGAAUUCGCACACACUCCAACCAGGAGUGACUAAGACCACAAACCACGUCGAGUCCUCGGGUUGGGUCACUACACACUCGGUGUGUCAUCAAUCUCACGAUCUAACACGUGGCAUUCGACGCUCCCGGAUCUAAGCUCGGACUACCGUCCUGACCAAAACUCUCUGCCCUACCCGUAGGUACCGGGCCGCUGCCUCUCGCAACUGACUGCGCCUGCCCAAUGGGCCGAGGCUCCACAGUCCACAAAGGGUCCAGGCACGGGUCGUCUCCAAGCACUACCCGCCAACGUCGUCCUACACGACACGCUCUACAGAGCUACACACUCUAACGGCUCCUAGGCACCUAGUGCGAGCCACCAGCCCCACGAGUGAGCUAUGGCCCGCUUCACACUUAGCCCUGCUAAAGUGCUACUGCCAACUCAUUCAACCGGCUGAAUCGAAACCACACUUCACGAGUACUACACUCGAGCGCUCUAUGUCCGUACAGCGUCUUACACGAAGUCCAGCAUCAGGCAACCUGCCUAUGCACACUGACUAUACGAGCACGACUCGCCCACCUCAAUUCGAGGUUCUACCAGGCCCACAUGCCCGUACUCGGCAACUAACCAAUCGCUCUGGCCUAAUGUCAGCAACCAGCCGGCACCAACCAAUCACCUAUCCAUUAGGUAGGCGACGCACUAUCACGAUUUAUGCAUGCUAGGGUAGCUACAUUAACCCUCGUCUCUGUCCCUACUAUAUUAGUGCAUAAGUAGUAGUGAAUGAUCAUGAAGUAAAUGCAUGCAAUGCUUCAGUUCUAUAUCAUGCAGAAGUGUAUACUUGCCUCAAUUAAAUCAUACUUGCGAUGAUAUUACCAGCAGCAGCAGGUUCCUCAACUUGGGUCGCGUAAGCCUGGCCACUUGGUGCUCGCCGCGUGCCUUCCGGCUGCCCAAUCCUUACACUCCGCUCUCCAGAUCGUGCCAAAGGUUGCACAUCCACGGGCUGUCCCGAAGAGGGGAAUGCCGUCGCUAUCGGCGAGGGUUGUCCAUCGCCAAUAGCAAAAUCAUACUUUGUGUGACCUGCUUGCCCACAAUAAAAACAUCUUCCCUCACGCAGUGCACACCGUCAUGCUCAGUGAGAUCCACCGCAAAUCACACAUUCCGAAGAAGACUGGUCGGAAGAUAGCUUCGGGAUUCGAGACUGUGACGAUCCGGGGGACGCCUGGAACUUGAUUGACCACCAGAAUGGUCUCUCAGUCACACUGCUCUAGCCUCUUGCCUACUAAACUCGCGCUCCUCUUGCACGGAGUCAUCGCCUUGCUCUACCCACAAGGCUCGAUCCAUGACCUCGGCAAAUGUUUGCAACUUGAACGGAUGCACGUAUCGGAAAACUUCCGACUGAAGUCCCCACACAAAGCAAUCAGCUUUGUCCUCGUCAUCCUGCACCACAUGUGGAACACAAUUCACAAUACAGGUGAAUUCCCGUUCAUAUUCCCUCACGGUACGGUCUCCUUGGCGAAGCUUCCUGAAUUUCUCUUGAAGCCUUCUUUUCUCACUGUCGGGGAAAUAUACGGAGAAUACCAAUCUCCGAAACUCAUCCCAAGUCAUAGGAGGGAGACUAGGCAAUCGAUCUCGUUUGACGCCUUUCCACCACACCUUAGCCGACUUCUCUGAGCAGUGUGCGGCUAGGUUCACCUUGUCCCGCUCUACGGUAUACAAGUCCUCAAAGAGAGUCUCCAUGGAGUCGAUCCACAUUUCCAAGACCCACGGAUCCGCCGACUCUCCGUCAAAGGUAGGCGGCUUAAACUUCUUGAAAGCCAUGAGCACCGCCACAGCUCAUUCCCUUUCCCCCUCCAUCUCCACAGAACCAGGGGCCACGGCCCCCAAAUCCACCGCGACUCCCGACGGUGCACGGUGCGCUGCUACCGGCGUAGCCACCGCGGCCUGUCGUGUCAACAACUCAUGGAGCUCCUUGAUUUGCUCUUCUUGUCGUUGCACUAUGUCCGUGAGCGCAUUCAACUGCUCGCGGAGCACCGGGUCCCCGCUAGCCUCGGCUUGCUCAGGGACACCACUUGCCCCGCCCCGCGCCGACCUGGAUGAAGAUCGCCUGCGCGGUGCCAUCGCUUCCUGAAACAAGACAACUCGAUUAGCUCUCGACCCUCAAGGUCAAACACAAAACCAUUAACACGACUCAAAAGUCAAUCAGGCGAAAGUCAUGCGAGGGCGUCUAUUCUUAUCGCUCGGUUUCAUGUUGUCGCGCGCCAACAUGAACUCCCUCGGUUGAGAAUAAAGCACACCUCGAGUCUACUUCUAAUAUCCGUUUUAGAGGUUAAUAACACAACCCAAUCCAUAAUCCUUUCGCCGCACGUCUCAAGUCCUCGUCUCUCACGAGCCUUAACCUCUAUGGUUUUACUAUCCUAGGGUCUCCUAGGUCAUCUAAAUCAUUUUCCCAUUCUCUACUUUAUGCUCUGAUACCAUCUUAUCUGUCACGCCCCGAGCCCCGCCUGUUUGGUCAGGUUCGGGCACGCCAACCGACCGCCGAACGGACAGGGUUUCCCUUGUACUACGGACAGAGUCUCCCCUGUACGUUCAAGGCAACGCAAUCAAUACAAUACGAGGGUUCCAACCAGGAACUGAUAUCAAUCAAGAUUGCAUAAUGGAAGGUAUCAAACAACAUAAACACAUCCUAAGUUAUUACACUCAUUCACAUUCAUGCAUUUUACAUCUCAAUUCUCAAUUGCUUUAACUUCCAAAUACAAUCUAAGUAGUACAUCGUUUACUUAUUACAAUUUGAUACAUUUACUUUCUUUUCAUUUCCUUUACCCCUAAGCUUUGUAGACGGGGUACUGCUAACUCUGGUCUCCGGUGUAGGGCGCUAUCUGCAGAGCUGCGCCCUUUCCUCGCGCCGCCGUGCGGCUCACGUACGAACCUGUAACACCCCAAAAAACGUGGGGUGAGAACCAACUCCAUGGUUCCCAGUGGGUACGGCCACCAAAGGGAAAAGCUCGGCCAUCAGGUUCAAAGGAGGCAACUGCAGGUUAGUUUAAUAAACAGAUAGAUAGACAUUUGAUUAUGCAAUUAAUAAAACCAUACCUUGCCUCGCAAAUAUAACAAUGCUAUGCAAUAUGCAAUACCUGUAAAUCAUGAAAGUAGAUUACUUUAUUCUACUUUAUAUCAUUAACCAUUCUUUACUUGUAGCCGUUCUUUUCUUUAUUAGCUAUUCACGUUCAUUAGCUAUUCUUUAUUCUUUACUCUUUGUCUUAUUGUGCUCACUGGCGAUUCUUUCCUAAGGUUAUUUUUUCUUAGCCAUCUAUGCCACUCGACUCGGUCUCGAGUCAAUCAACUGCGGAUAGUCCGCGCUCUGUCCGGCUCAAGGUGAAGGACCUCUCACUUACAGCUCAGCCUUCAGUCCACAAAUAUGUAACAUACCAGAUUUUGGUAUAAAAAUAAGAAUAAAUAAAAAUAGUGUGAGAAACUAUUUUUAUUGGAUUUAUAGAAGUAAAACAUAAGUCAGAAGUGACUUGUGUUGAAAUCGGAAUGAAAACAGAAGAUCUAGAAUUUUCUGUUGGAAACGGGACAGAUAAAUUAGCAGAAAAUGCACAGUCUCAGAAAAUUAUGAAAAUUGGAGGAUAAGUCAGAAAUAUUUUUAUGGGGCUAGAUUUAAAGUUUCAUAUUUUUCUGACACCCGUAGAGUGAGAAAUAAAAUCCGACACGUAUCUGAUAAAGGUUACAGUUCGGUAUAGUUUUCGGUGACCAAAUGGGGUCGAAACUAGAAACUUAAAAUAUAUU